Molecule: ribosomal RNA, 253 nt
Filed under: uncultured bacterium
Lineage: Bacteria
Description: partial 16S ribosomal RNA
Rfam family: Bacterial small subunit ribosomal RNA
Source: RNAcentral
UACGAAGGUCCCAAGCGUUAUCCGGAUUUAUUGGGUUUAAAGGGUGCGUAGGCGGACUAUUAAGUCAGUGGUGAAAGCCCCCAGCCUAACUGGGGAACUGCCAUUGAUACUGAUGGUCUUGAGUACAUUUGAGGUGGGCGGAAUGUGUCAUGUAGCGGUGAAAUGCUUAGAUAUGACACAGAACACCGAUUGCGAAGGCAGCUCACUAAACUGUAACUGACGCUGAGGCACGAAAGCGUAGGGAGCAAACAGG